Long non-coding RNA from Gasterosteus aculeatus aculeatus (three-spined stickleback), 13583 nucleotides. The record is from Ensembl. NCBI's taxonomy places the organism in Eukaryota, Metazoa, Chordata, Actinopteri, Perciformes, Gasterosteidae.
AUAUAUAUAUAUAUUCCCACAUAUCCAGUAAGCUGCAUGCUGCUGCUGUCUCUCUACCUGCACCUCUUCACACGCUCUGAAGCUCCGGUUCUUGGCAUCUUCCCAACCUUUGCCGCUCCAUCUGCCUUCAAUCACACCAAUUAAACGUCAUCCUGCCAAAAGGGGGAAUUACACAUAUUGUAAAUUCACCUUUCUCACAUCUAGCAAUUUCUCUCUUUCUCUAGUUUCUCCAGGAAUGCAGCGCUUUAUAUUUAAAAAAAAGGCCCGUUGUUCUGGAGCAGGUCCAGCAGGCGAUUAGAGGAGGACCGGAAAGCCUCGCUGCGGCUGACGAAUGUCCACGUGUAAAUCAACUCCAGCAGGGAGAGAGAAAGGUCAAACAGGAAAGAGACGGUGAGGGGGAGUGGUUAGGUGUCACUGCGCCCGCUGCAGAUUACAUUACAACCACAGACAAGAGAUUUAGUAUCGCGGGAUGUUCUCAGACUACUCAUGUAAAUGCAUCUGAUUUGCAUUGGCAAUAAUGUCUUCUCUGUCCCUGAAUGUGAAAUAUUGGAAUAUUGUUCAAGGAAAAGAUACAUGGAACUGCAAUUGUGCAUAAUUCCUGUAAGUGGAAACCUUUACUGUCAAGGGGCGAGGGAUGUAAUUACCUCAUUUUACUCAACUAAAAAGGUCAGUGGUCUUUAAAGUUUUAAAUUCCUUUUAAAAGGAUCCUAAAAACGUAAAGAGGCAACCUUAAUGAUAGGGAUGUGCGGUAUACCGGUAUAACAUUUCCUUAUGGUAUGAAUUCUCCCCUCAUACGCUUGUUAACAAUGAUAAACCGCAAGGUGCCGUUCUGCAGGCAGUAGGAUUUAUUUUUACAUCUAAACGGCGGUACGUGGCCGCAUCAGCCGGUGUUAAAUAGCGCUUUCAUUUUCAGGCCCCACGAUGAAUCAAUCGGUGCUGUACUUACUGCCGCUCCCUCCUCACACAGGAGGACACAUUAAAUCAAUUUGCUCAUUAAAGUUUGCGGCCCGCGACGGCCGGAGGAUCAGCGGCUGGUCCCCGCGCUCCGCCACACGGGCGCUUUGAGCCAAAUUUCUCCGCAACUAACGGCUGGAUGGUCACACUAUUUGGUUCAGGUACUUGUGUCCCCCCUUAGGAUGUCUUCAGUACUCCUUAACAGGAGCUUGAUUUGUAAGUGGGACAAAUCCUGAAAAAAAUGUAUAUAGCCCCAAUGCUGCAGCAGUGUCCCAGUAGACCGUUUUGACUUGAGUCUGUUUGCCUGAAUGCAGCCUGUGCUGCGUGUGUGUGUGUGUGUGUGUGCGUGUCUGGAAGGAAAUGGACAUGUGUAUGCACGCUCACUGCUGGUGCCCCGACACAAACCUCCUCACAAACCAAAUACCAGCAAUCCCCAAACCAGACACAGGGAUAGAAAAUGCCAGUUGGUCCAAAAUCAGAAAGGCCGCUAAGCUUCAACGCAGCCGCUCCAGCAGAAAAACAAUCCGACAAUUCAUUAAAAAGGCGUGUUAUUCUCCUCGCCCCUGCGUCUUCAAUAUCUCCACUCUCCAAAGCCCACGCUGAUGAUUCCAGCUAAUAUUGGUUUUGACGGCACUGCGGAUGAUUCCGGAGAAGGGCAAUGUGAGAAAAUAGGAGCCUGGCUGAUCUGCAGUUCUACACAGAAGAUUCUCUUUUUAUUAUUGCCGGAUACCAGGCGGUGACCCCUUGUCUGAGGUCGAAUUCGGCUUCGCAUCUCAAAGAGAAGAGUAUUUUAAAAAGAAUAAAAGUCUUUCAAACUUAAAUCUGAGCCUGCUCGGAUACAAAGGUUAGCUACGGGCCUCGGCCAACGUAACCAUGGUGACGAGGACAGUCAAGAGGGUGGAAGCGUGAUCUACCGGUGGCGCGCGUUAGGCCGAGAAGGCCGGUCGACGCCUUCGUACCGCUGCCAGCAUCGACUUUUGGAGAUGCGUCUGUGUUUGUGUAAUUAUCAUGGCGGGAGUUUCCCAUGAUGCAUGACGCCAUGAGGCGUGUGUGCGCUGCACGUAAAGCAGCUGCUCGUCUUUGCCACUAACCAUUCAACAAGGAGAGGUUAUUGUCCAGCUGACCCAACAUCGUCCAUCCAGAAAAUUAGAAGGGACUUUUAGUCCUUGAUGCCUGAAAUGACUUCUCCCACUUUGUGACUCCAUCGCUAUGGAGACGCUGUGAGGUAAAAAUAUCACAGACUUUUGAGGGUUUCAAGUGUAUUUACAAGCAUUUUAAGAUGAAAUGGAAAAAAACAUUUGCAACUGGGCAAAAAAAACCAAACCUUUUAUUCUCAUUUGAGGAGGAUUUUUGAUUCAGUUGGAAAGGAGUGGAUGCACUGAACCGCCUUUGCUGAAUAUUUGUGAUGAAGCCAACGUUUAAGUUACAGGGUCGAGCAGCUGUUUCUGCUGUCAGCAUCCUGUCACACGUUCCCAUAACAUAAUGUUUGUAAGCAUCCUGUGAAAGAAGUGGGCCUCAAUAGCUGUUUAGUGGUAACUGAGUGGCUGAGGACAUCCUGCCAAGUCAGCAGCAGGAAAGAGGAAAGAGGGGGGGGCAUUACCCCCCCGCAUAUUAAAUAUUAAUCCACAUUAUUGUCGGCCGGGGACAAAAAGAUGUGGACAAAUUACAGGAGAGGACGAUGGAUCAGGCCGUUGAUACGAUUCAUCAUCCCUGUGUCGGGUAGCCGAGGGUCCCUUUAACAAAAUAAUCAUUUGAUCAACUCCCUGAAGCGCAUGUGGAGACAUGACAUCGUUUAACCUGCUGGAAGUUAUUACACAAAUAGGGCUGUCGGGUAUGUUGAAUUACCAUCAAGCACUGAUCACAUCCAUUUGGGAAACUGGGAAGAGGUAUAGUAUCUGAUCCCUAUAGAUUCCAUCCAAUUUAAUGUGACAUUAGAUGCAUCCGUUCCUUGUGAAUAUCUGAAUAUCACAUUAAAGUGACAGUUUCACAACCAAACACUGCAUGCAGCAUUCUAAGCGAGCAUCGAUUAGACGGCCGAGGUAUACUUACGUAGUUCAUCAUUUAUGUCCGCCUACUCAUUCGGAAACUCUGCAUUUAAAAAGGUCACACAGAUAAUAGCUUGGAGUCCUGACAGCAGACAUUGAGUCAAUGCUAAACAGCAGGUCAAGUAAAGUUAAAGUUCUUGGAGGAAGUUUGGUCAAACUCCUCUCCUCGUUGAACAUUGUAAACAUGAGAUUAUGGUCUCAUUCUCUAGUUACAAGUCUUUUUCAAUACAGCAUGAUGUUCAUUUAGAGUCAAACAGACCAUAAAGUAGGAUAUGCUUUGGGGCGGGGCUACGCAGCGAUUUACAGGCUAUAUAAUAGGCCAUCAAUAUAAAAAGCCAAGAUGGCGAGAGCAAAAAAUGCCAAACUUCAAAACGUCAGUCCACUGAACUAAUGUGUGACAUCACUACGGCCCUGUCCGCUUCUUAUUUAUUAAUAAUAAUAAUAAUAAUAUGUCCCGUAGAUGAGAAGAAGACAUUACACCUCUUUGGGUCCUCAGCAACACACCCAAAAAGUCCAUCAGAUGAAGGGACGGAGAGGCAGACACAUUUUAGGGAUGCCUGAGUAAAGAAGAAAAAAAAAACAGGACCUUGGUAACCAAGUUAUUACAUAAUGGGAAACGGAAAAGGCCGCAAUCUAAUACAAAGGGGCACUGAGUGAGUAAUGGCUUCCUUCAAGUCAGAUUAUUUGCAUGGCGGGUUGUUCAAGUCCUUUGUCAAAAGAAAAGAGGCUUUUUUUACAAGUUAAAUAUAAUAGUGUGUUGGAAUAUAGUUUGUCAGGGUUGCCUAUACAUCGUUCUAAUGUUAUGUGUUUCCAUUGAGUACAUCGUGUGUGUGUGUGUGUGUGUGUGUGCAGAAGCCCCAGAGUGUGGGCGAACACAGGACGGCGCCGUACGCAUCCAAUCAACAUCACAGAAGCAACUGUGCAGAUUAUUUAUAAUUGUUUUCACAGAGAAAGUAUCCUCGGCUUGCUUUGGACCCUAUAAAAACGGACCUAGUGUAUAAGCUCGUACUCAUUUAAAAACUGCUUUGUCCCCUGUAGGGCAAAAAUCGUCCCAUAAUCCACUGGGGCACGGAGAAGCAUGUGAACAUUCGUCUUAUUUGUGAUCUUUUACAUAGCAAAGGACCAAAAACUUAAAACUCUUAAUUGACUAAAAACAGAAACAGUUUUCAUAUCAGAGCAUACAUAUAUUCUCUAAAGUAAUCAUCUUUAAAAGAUGAGCUUAGUUAUGUCCCAUCCAUCGUCAAACCGCUUAUCCUGCACACAGGGUCGCGAGGGGGCUGGAGACUAUCCCAGCCAGAGUCCCCAAUCGACCUGAUCCUCAGAGCAUGUCUUUGGACUGUGGGAGGAAGCCGGAGAACCCGGAGAGAACCCACGCAGACACGGGGAGAACAUGCAGACUCCACACAGAAAGGCCACUGGGCGUAAUCAAACCCAGGACCUUCUUGCUGCGACAGUGCUAACCACCACGUCACCGUGCCGCCCCCUUAGUUAAGUCAUUUAAUGUAAUAAAACCAAAUUACCAGGGAAUUUGGUAUCGCUUAUUUAUUAUAAAACCUUCAGUGGGAGUCAUUAUAGUCAAAGAAAUAGUCAUAGUUAGUGAAGCAAUAUGUGUGUGAGAAAAAUGUGUACUUGACAGUGCUAUAAAAUCAUUAAACAGGACAUCACAUGCUAGCGUGGAGACUGAAUUGACAACAUACUCGUGUCAUGUAUUGUGUGGAGAUUGCCUCAAAAACAUUCAAACACAAACAUUCAGUAAAACCUAAAUAAAAUGGUGAAUCCAUUAAAAAAUAAUAAUAACAGUGGUUGCCAUAGCACCAGGACACCAUUGUCACAGAGAGAGAACCUUCCACGGAAACACCAAUUUAAAUAAAAACAAGUUGUCACAACCGUUUAUCCCUGACAGACCGUAUCAUUACAAGUUCAUCAGUUACUAACUGCAUUUGUACAAGAUCAUUGUAUACGUGUCUCCCAGCUAAUCGAUGCAGCGUGGUGGAAACAACAGGAGGCCCCGGGCCCCCCGGUACAACCAGGACCAAGCCAGGCGGCAGAAUUUUACUGUCAAAGCUUUCCCAGGUAUUCCACGUGAGGGUGUCCAAAACUACUCAGAGACCAACACAAAAAGUGAGCUUAUUCAACAACUGCAUGAGGUGACAGAGGAGCUGGCCCUUGAGAAGAGCCUGAAGGAGAUGGAGAAAGCCAGGCGUGAAGAAAUGGAGAGACUCUGGAGGGCUGGUGAACCAGAGACGAUGAACACCUUUGGGAUUGCCAGUGGGGUUUGCAGCACCCUCAAAACCAAGAAGGAGAAGGAACUUCAAAUGGAAUUUGAGAACCUGCAAAUGUCUCAUAUAAUCAGGGAGCAGAAAUUCUCAGCGGAGAUCCAGCUCGAGAGAGAGAGAAAUGCAGCUCUCCGUGAAGAACUUAAACAUCUUCAGACCAACUGGAGCCAUGAAGAGGAUUUAAAGAUGAAACUCAAGAUGUCCAAGGAUCUGGCAGCCAGAAAGCAGCUAAUGGUAACCAAGGAUGAUCUGCUUCGCCACAUGAAGGUGAAGAUCCAGACUCUGAAGGACAACGCCUCUGAGAUGGAGAAGACCUUUGUUAAAGACAUUGAGGACUUGAAACACCAACAGCUCUCAAGCAACCUGGAGCAUGACACCAAGCUCCACGCUGAGGAGGAGGUCAGUCAGGGCCUCAGAACGGAACUCUGCAGACUCCUAGAAGAGCAGGAGGAAAACAUUAGAAAGAAGGAAGCUCUUGAAAAGGAGGUGGUGGCAUUGCAGGAAAACACCUCAGAGAAGGAGAAGACCUUUCUGAAAGACUUGGAGGACCUGAAACACCAACAGGUCUCAAGCAACCUGGAGCAUGCCACCAAGCUCCACGCUGAAGAGGAAGUCAAUCAGGGCCUGAGAAUGGAACUCUGCAGACUCCAAGAAGAGCAGGAGGACAACAUCAGAGAGAAGGAAGCUCUUGAAAAGGAGGUGGUGGCAUUGCAGGACAACAUCAACGUCAGCCACAAUCUCCAGACUGACCUUGAGGAGGUGAAAGAAGAGAACCGAGUCAAUACCAGGGAACAAGAGGAGUGUGCCGUCCACGACUCACCAACCAAGGCCUAAUGUGAUUGGAUGUACCACUGUUUCCCCUAAAGGAAUAAUAUAGAUAUAUAUAAAUACAUUUAAUUGAAAUGAAAGCUGUAAGGGUCCUUUCUACUCCGCAUGUCGGGGCACCGGCCGGACAGCUAGAAACGCAGCCAAGAACUCAGUAUCAUCUGGAGCAUUAUCAAGGUCUAAGGUUUUUUACGGGGUGGGGGGGUGGGGGGGGUUCUGACACCUUUUGAGAGGUUAACUUGUGAGAAGCAGGGUGUAAAGUGAAUCCUUAAAAAUACAAUACAAUAGGUUCGUCGUAUAUUUCUCUGCAGUGGAGUUACUGAUAAAGCCUUCCACGUGCGACUGGUCUAUAUUGUAAAAAAAAACAUACAUACAUGUUUAAUAUUAUAUUUAUUUGGAAAUUGAGUUUUAAAUCAAUUAAAAAAAUAGUAUAUGGGCUUUAACUGGACUCUGGAAUCUGGUGUUUUACAUAUUUAUUCCGUUUCUUAACCAGCUAACACGUUCACAUUUACUUACACAUAUAUUACUAUAUUUAAAUGUACUUGAAUGCACUCUGGAAAGUAUUGAUGGUAUUAUUAAGUAGUUAUUCACACGUCUGUCCUUCAUUAAUCUGCAGCUACGUGUAAACAGAGAAAAAUAGAAGGACCAUGUUUAUGCAGAUUUCUCACCCAUCUCACUCUCGAAUUGCACACACAAGAUUGAGAUUGCAAGAGUUGGAGUCUCUGGAACUUUAAGCUGCCACGUGUAGGAUCCGGUGUUUAAGGGCUCAUUUCAUGACUGAUAACAGCCCCUCGGCGAGGGAGCUUUUACUUUUGAAUUGAUGCGAGCUUAAACAUUCUCCCUUUCCAGUGUCUUGAUGUCUGAUGUUCCGAGCCAUCCUUCCUGAUCUGAAACAAGACUUGCUGAUUAACCGACAGGCGCUCAUUUCUAGCUCUCUCAGAUGCCGCUGAUUUCCCCCCCCAACAUCCAUCCGAGUCAUUGGUCCCAGAUUUCUAUUAGAGGGAAAAUGACACACAUGACGAGGCUCAACUCCUCGGAUAAAAAAAUCUAAAUAAGCACUUUAAUCGAUUCAAACGGAAGGGUUUGAUGUGGUCCUACCCAGAGAUCAAUAAAAAAAAAAAUGCAAAGUAGAAGCUUGACAUACAAACCGCUUUAAUAAGGAAUCCCACAAAGAGAGACUUCUAAAAAGAUCAUGUGAUCAUCUUUGUCUUUUAGCAUGUGAAUCAAUGAAAUCUGAAAAUAACACUUUUACAUUACCUGUACUGGUUUAUAUGAAAGGAAUGAUUUAAUCCGGUCAAACUGUAUUUGAACAGCACCUGUCAUGCAGGUUACUUCACAGAUGAUAGAAGUGAAGAUUGUGAAAAACAACAGAAAGGAAACAAGUCAUUGAUUGGAGACCAACGGAUGCGAGGCAAUACAGACGGUGACAACAAAUUUAAAAGCUAUGAUAACAGUCGUAGAAAAACUAGGCCGGUUACCACGGUGCAAGUUAAGCAGUGUAUCAAGAGACCGUUAUUAAGUUAGGUGGUUUAAUAUAAUCUAUAAUAUAAUCAAUGUUUGAUCAAACAAACACAGAGCUUUCACAUAGUAGAUUUCUGUUUGAGUCUGCUGACUUUGAGUAACAUUAAAGAGUGAAAUCAAAUUGAUAUUCUAAUAAUUUCUAACAUAAAUAACUGUGCCUGGACAAAAAGUGCUUCCAAUGGAAACAAUGGAAACAUUUAAAGCUAAUUAGCCGAAAUUUGUAAUUUGUAAUGUUAAUGAGAGCCGACCGCAGGACAACGACUGAAUAUCUACGGGUAAAAGCACAUUAAAACAAAAGGGUAACUCUCCCCCCUCCUUCCCACUCGACAUGUAUGUGGGAUGAGGACGUUAGCUUGUCUUUGUCAUUUCUUUGUCAUUUCUCCCAUCGUCACUGGAUAUAAAACGUGAGCCCCCCCGGGGCGAGGCCGGCGCCGGGUGAGCCGCACACAGGUUCAUUACCACAACAAGGGUCGCCUGCACUCAAUUAACCCGCCAACCGUCCACUCUGCCCUUCGUCUCGGAGACUGAUGAGUCGCCGCCGGGGGUUAAGUGUCGGGGUAAUUGACCCGGGCCGCUCCUGGUUUUCUAUUCAGGCGGCCUAAUUGUGCAGAGUCAGCGUGCGUUCCCGGGCGCAGAGCGACGUCGGAAUGAAUCCAGCGGCAGGCUCAGACGAAUGAGCCGCGGCUCGUUAAAAGAGGCUUCUCGCGGUGCGCCGGGGGUCACACGGUGAGAAACACAAACCUACCGUGAGUUGGUUUCUUUAAAAGCAUCAGCUCCUACAUUACAUUUUCAAAUGGAGACUGCAUUUGUCCUCGGCGCAAUGUGCAUUCGCAAUAAUCAAAUUCCUGGAAGACCUCUAGUUUUCCAGAUCUUGUUUCCCCUACUGCAAAAAGAAUAUUGUGCCGUCUUCAGGGCUACAUGCCACACUCCCCCCUCCUCCCCCCCCUGCUCCCUCUCUUUGACACAAGUCUUCAUACAUGACCGUCUGGUUGUUUCAUACGUACAGAGAGGGGGAGGCUCGCUCGAACCGCCACAGGCUGCUCAGGAGAGACACGUGUCCUCGGAGUAGACUGUCUUUAAAGUUAUUUGUGAUGAUGCUCAUCAGUCCUCUCCUCCAUCUUGUUGCUCUUAGUGCCGGCAGGGAAAUUACUAUCAACAAAAUGCUUUUAGCGUCAUCUUUAUGGUGCUCUUAUUUCCACUUUCCUCAAUGCAUUACAUUAUCAGAAUGGCUGUACUUAUGCCAACAUUAAAUUUAUUUGAAAAUCGGAAGUGAGUGUAAAGAAAGUGCUGCUCGAAUGACUUCUUAUUUCCAACAUAAUUUUCCAAUUACAAUUGAUUAUAACAUGCUUUAACAACUGUGUUGGCGACCAAUUACUUAUUGCUUUGUGACGGAGUAAAUCCAUAAAAGCAUGCGCAGAAACUACGUCUGAAAGAGACAAAUGAUGGCAUGCUAACUGGAGGAAGACGCUAAUCCGCCUUUUAGACACCAUUAGUCAAAAUCAGGGUUCUCAUGCGUCUUCUUGAAAGCGUUUAUGCCGAAGAAAUAAAUCAUUUGAAAAAAAGAAAAAUGAUAAUUUUCAUGGAGAUGAUUCAGAUUAAAACUAAUUGAGAUACCCGGUGAUCAUCCUCCACAGACAGAUGAUCAUGUUUGCUUCCGUACGUUCAGAGCUGCAGCGCGUCUCGUCCCUUUGGAUUAAUGAUGUCUUUUAGAUGCAUCGCCUCAGAAUGAGAGCAGUAGGUGCGCGUCUGGUGAGGUCUCCGCGAAGCCACCAAUGAGAUGUCUAGUCACGGAGCGUCUCGGGGCUUUUUAAAUCGCUUCUCCAUCGUCUCGAUCACAUUGCCGGUUUUUGAAAUUCCCAAAGCGGAACCUGCAGGUGCUCUGACGUGCCGCGCGGUUCUCUCUAAAUCACCAGGAAUGAGGGCUGUGUUGUCAGGCCAGCAAUACAAUCAUUUCAUGGGUUAACUGAAAUCAAUAGGACCCCAUAAGCAGGCCGAGGCCGGCUCCAUAACAGAUCUGUAGUCCAUAGCGACUCAAGUCCACAUGCUCUAUUUGCUUAUUGAGUGAAGACUGCAGCUUCAUCCCAUCUGGGGUUCAAUAACUAAAUGAGCUCUGAGCAUCACAUUCAUUAUCCCAUCCGACGCUCGAAAUGUCAAAGUAGUUGCGCCCGGAAAUCAAUGAAGACCGUCAAUGAUUCGAUCCCAACACGUGUGAGGGAAAGUCUGUAGGGGGACGGGCCGAGGGGGGUAUCGGGAAAACAACCUGGUUAGAGCCCCUUAGAGGGGCAGGAUCGAGGUGUUUACCGCUCGAUCAAUGGCGACACGACGCGCACGAGCAAACAUCAGAGCGACAACUAUUAAGACACGAGCAAUCGAUCCGUCGUUGAGUCGACUCACAGAACUCCAAUGAUCCACAAUCAGCCAGCGCGUCUUUGUUUGUAGCCGCGUUUGCCGUUUGUAACCGGUGCCUGAACAGCUGUUGUUGCUGCAGUGGUUGACACAUAUUUCUAACGCCAAUUACUGAACUUAUUAAUUUGUAACUCCAAAUAGAAACUCUUCCGUUUAAGAGAAUGGGAACACAUGAAAGCUGCACAGAAGAUUACAUCCAUAAUUUCACUGGUAUCUUUGUAUUGAGUGCCGUUAGACAAUUACAGCGAGUGAGCCAAAAAGCGUCCUACUGGACGCCCGUCAUCCCCCAAACAAAUGGAAUUUCUUUGAAAACGCAACCUCUAAAAAAAGACUAACUGCCUAAUUAUCCUGCAAAAUGGGAAGAAAAAUAGAAAAGCUUAAUCUCCCUACUAACAGCCCACAUCAACCAACGAAGGCAUCGGGUGACAACCGGGCAUUGCAUGCUUAAAUGGAGACGUUACGUUUGGAAAAACACAACAUGAUAAACACAACAUAAAGAAAAGGAAAUACAUCUAGAAAUGUCUGAUCAAAGAGGUAAAGGAGAUGGCAUCGUCCAGUACUGCGAUCAUAAAAGUGUAGCACCUCAGGUCUUUGCUGAGUUAAUAUUAUAAAAGUUCAUUUUUCUUACAUAAUGCCGAUUUGCGUAAGGUCAGUUGAGGCGGAUUCUCUGCCACAAUUGUGACGCCGGAGAUUUGCAAAGAAACUAAGUUUUGUCCCCAACAGGCUGAGCGGAAAAUGGGCGAGCGCAGGACAAAACAUUGCACCCGACUAUCGGGACACCUGAAGAAAAACCUCAUCAGAGCCUCACAGUCAGAUGUCCACAGAGAAAAAAGAUGAAUAAAGAAGCAUUACAUCCUCCCCACCCCACUAGCAAAGUCACAGGAAGAAAACAAGACUAAAAGUUCUUGUAUUCUGUGGAGGGUAACAGGAUUAAAUAUUGAAAAGGAGGCAAAAAAAAGAUUAGAAGAGAAUGAGAGAGACUCUCUGCGUGGCGGCACGUUAUAUUCAUACGUCCGUGGUGUUAAUACACAGAUUUCAUGAAGCCAAUAUCAAAGCAACAGCUGGAGGGAAAGGGCAGGCGGAGCCGCGCGAGGACAGACGCAGAAAGGGAAUGACAAAUGCAACGUACGGAACAGAGAGGGAGCGCAUGGGAGUGUGUGUGUAUAUUCAUACACGGCUCUACCUCUUCAACUUUAAAAUACAUUUUCUCUCCUGGGCUGAUGUUUAAUACAUUGACUAAUGAAAACCUAGAGAGGAAUCCAGAACCCCCCCAUCCCCUCUUUGAGAGCAUCUUAAAAAAUGCAAACCCCAUCAAAGGGCUUCACUCUGCACCCAUGCGAAGAUGCAGCUGGCUGAAACGUCUCUUUUGCCCUCAACGGUUUCUUUCUCUUCCUGGUUUUGGAUUAUAAAAAAUCUAUUUCCCAUUCUCAGAAGAAUGCUCUCUUCAUUUCCUCAAGCACAUUUUACCCUGACAGGGGAUGUAUAUUUUCAUUCUACUUCAGGUUCGGAUGUUUUGUUUAACUGUACUGUGCUUAACGUGUAUUAUUCGAUAUCCUUCUGGAAUCUCAGGAGUCAGUUUAAUUAUUUUACCGUGGAAGAUAUUCUUCCUAAUACAAGAAAAAGCUUUUUCUAUAUCUAGUAUUUAAGACAGAGCUCGAGCAUGACAAUACACAAGUGAUAUUAAAUGCCAGACUUCAACAACAAUAUUAGUCCAGGUGUGAGGAGUGUGAGGCAGCUCGUGGUCGUAGGAGCCUCUGAAGCCUCCAAUAUUUCUCAGUGAACUUUGAAGCCACAACCGUGUUAUUGGAGAACGCCACUCCUCCGCCUGCUUUUUCCUCAAAGGACACAUUAUAAAACUCACACCUGCCGCGGCACAUCUGUAAUGGUCUGAAAGAGUAAAAGGCGCCGCAGCUCGUUUCAUACGAAUAGUGCACUUCUGGAAACCUUCUACAUUCUUUAAUGGGGGGAUAAAAAAAAAAGCAUUGCCAGGAAAAAGGGGUAAACUAUCCUCCUGCAAAACGCAGUCACCAAACUACAUGAGUGAAGCAAAAGGGCAUCAUCCAUACAGCAGUUUGGAGGCACAGCUGUAUCUUUGCUCUGUGAGCACUGCCAAACCAAACCGGACGAAAGUUACAAAAGAAGAAAGAAUUGAAGCAGUGUGACUGACACGGGAAUCUUUUGCUGGUGAACAGCAAAAGUUCUGUGAACAGUAACAGCAGCAAAACCUAUUUAAGUUCUCCGGGUCAAAAAUGUCAACGUUCAAUUUUCAAUAUACAGGAACACCACUGCAGCAGCAAACAGAAUGAUACAAAACCCUUAAAUAAUCUUCCAUUAGAUAUACAGUUAGACAAUCGUACCGCAGUUUAUGUUUUAAUUUUCACAUUGCCAUUGUUAAGCGUUUAGUAUUUCAUAUCACAUUUUAUUUUACAGAAAAAAUUAGACGGGCAUGUUUUACCUUUUAAUUGUUAGUUUAGAGCCCUGAGUAGCCUGGGACAUCUUUAAAUAACACCUGCGGACACACGCAGCUUCAAACAGCGGUCACAACAGUGCAGCCGCAGACUGCUCCUCGCCUCUCAAACAGAUGACUAAUCUCUGGAGGAAACGAUGCAAAUGGCACAAAGUGCGACUGAGCAGAGACACACAUAAUAAAUGAUGCCCCUUCCCCCCCAAUUGUCACACCCUAAAACCUCCGAUCCCACAUCGCACGCCUCUUUUCGCUGACGCCGUAAUAACGAGACCACUCGGCCGGUCUCAGAGACCGUCACACAGGCGGGCGGGAGGGGCCACUUAGCGGGCGCUGACGCACGGCGCCCCGAUCGAUAAGCAACUUUGUGGGAGUGACUCAUCACCGGAGCGGAGAAAAACGACGAGGGCCCGAUUCCCUAAUGGGUCCCCGGAUGCGGGGCGGCGAGGCCGCGUGAUGAAGAUGGACGGGCGGAUGGACAGGCCGCUCGUUGUCGGCUAAUUCCACGUGUCUCGGUUCAGCGGCACGUCUUCCACUCCAACAGUCGACCCCUCCUCUCCAUCAUGCUGCAUCGGAUCGAUGCCUUGAAUGCAUACGUCCCCCCCUUGGCCCCCCCUAUGCUCUCGUCCACCGUCCCACCGGGGACAGGGCAAGUGCUGCGGUUAUGGAUAAGUGUUGCAGUUAUGGUUAUUCACAUUGCAUUUAGAAUCGAACGUAACGGCGUCUCGUGCAACCCACAACCAUAGAUCAUCUGAUGUUGGAUAGGCUCUUAGAAUAUACUGACUUAUAUAUAUCAAUAUAUUGAUAUUCCACUGGGUUGAAGUGUUAUAUUAAAAAGAAACCAAAGAGAAAAAGGAGCUGCUCGUCUGUCUGCUGAUGAUAUCUUCCUUCAAUAUUGAAGAUAAGAUCGGCCCAAUCAAUCAUGUAGAAGAUUAAUUUGUAUUUCUUCUCCUAGUAAACAAAUGCAGCACAAAUUAAUCUUUGGAACAAAUCAGCAAUAUUCAAGUUGAGUUAUUAAAGUAAGCCUACAAAUGAUGUGGGCUUCAGCUAACUGCAAAACGACCAUCAACUAGCUCAUUUAUAAAUAAUUGU